UUGGAGGGCAAGUCUGGUGCCAGCAGCCGCGGUAAUUCCAGCUCCAAUAGCGUAUAUUAAAGUUGUUGCAGUUAAAAAGCUCGUAGUUGAAUUUCGGGGUUAGUAGGUUGGUCAUGCCACUGGUAUGUACUGGUCUCACUGAUUCCUCCUUCCUGAUGAGCCGUAAUGCCAUUAAUGUGGUGUUGCGAGGAAUCUGGACUGUUACUUUGAAAAAAUUAGAGUGUUUAAAGCAAGCUAACGCUUGAAUACAUUAGCAUGGAAUAAUGAAAUAGGACGUUCGAUCCUAUUUUGUUGGUUUCUAGGAUUGACGUAAUGAUUAAUAGGGAUAGUUGGGGGCAUUAGUAUUCAAUUGUCAGAGGUGGAAUUCUUGGAUUUAUUGAAGACUAACUACUGCGAAAGCAUCUGCCAAGGAUGUUUUCAUUAAUCAAGAACGAAAGUUAGGGGAUCGAAGACGAUCAGAUACCGUCGUAGUCUUAACCAUAAACUAUGCCGACUAGGGAUCGGAUGAUGUUAAUUUUUUAAUGACCCAUUCGGCGCCUUACGGGAAACCAAAGUGUUUGGGUUC
This 565-nucleotide ribosomal RNA is filed under the name uncultured Glomeromycotina. RNAcentral's name for it is "SSU rRNA". It matches the Rfam family "Eukaryotic small subunit ribosomal RNA", at positions 548 to 1114 of the family's 1831-position model. Lineage: Eukaryota; Fungi; Glomeromycota. The record is from RNAcentral.